This 459-nucleotide ribosomal RNA is filed under the name uncultured bacterium. Its description in RNAcentral is "partial 16S ribosomal RNA". It matches the Rfam family "Bacterial small subunit ribosomal RNA", at positions 338 to 795 of the family's 1533-position model. The record is from RNAcentral.
CCUACGGGUGACAGCAGUGAGGAAUAUUGGUCAAUGGGCGCGAGCCUGAACCAGCCAAGUCGCGUGAGGGAAGACGGUCCUAUGGAUUGUAAAUCUCUUUUGUCGGGGAGCAAAAGACGCCACGCGUGGCGUUCCGAGAGUACCCGAAGAAAAAGCAUCGGCUAACCCCGUGCCAGCAGCCGCGGUAAUACGGAGGAUGCGAGCGUUAUACGGAUUUAUUGGGUUUAAAGGGUGCGCAGGCGGAAGAUCAAGUCAGCGGUAAAAUUGAGAGGCUCAACCUCUUCGAGCCGUUGAAACUGGUUUGCUUGAGUGAGCGAGAGGUAUGCGGAAUGCGUGGUGUAGCGGUGAAAUGCAUAGAUAUCACGCAGAACUCUGAUUGCGAAGGCAGCAUACCGGCGCUCAACUGACGCUCAUGCACGAAAGUGUGGGUAUCGAACAGGAUUAGAUACCCUGGUAGUC